RNAcentral lists this long non-coding RNA (1003 nucleotides) under Scophthalmus maximus (turbot). RNAcentral's name for it is "lncRNA (ENSSMAG00000033820.1)". The record is from RNAcentral. Lineage: Eukaryota; Metazoa; Chordata; Actinopteri; Pleuronectiformes; Scophthalmidae.
GCAAAAACACGGGAUAGAUUUCGGCCCAAGGGUGAAGUUAUAAAAUUGACUAGGUUUUUUUCCCUUUUUUUCCAUUAGUGAUAUCCUGGGUGGACUCUAUCACGUUUGGUCUUUGAAGCAACAGUGGAGCUUUGAGACUGGUACAAUGGACUCCGGUGAGGCGUUCACACCCACGGCUGCUUCGACAAGCAGUCAAGCGAGGAGAAGAGGGAGUCGCCUAUGAGGCGCACGGGGCAAGGGCCGUGGGAGAUGGGGCAGAGGUUGGCGUGUUUGGCCGACACCUGGGAUCGAAUUAUGUGCUGUUCGCCUUUUACUGCUUGGUUUCAAUGCAGGGCCAAUGUGCAUUAUACCUUUCCCCAUGGCCAAAGUGGAGUCUUGCUUCAGGAAAUUUGACAGUCUGCUCUACAGUGAUAAAAAAAUAUAUCUCAUAGAAGUUGACAUUAAUCCCUGCCUGUACCAGUCCAGAUCACCUGUUUCCAGUUACAAAGGUCAUCUGCUUCAUCUCCACAUUCUCUGCACCUCUCAUCAGCCUGUUUUAUGUACCUGUAUGUUUUCAGCCAGUGUUUGCCAAUUUGUCCCAGUGGUUUGUGUGAUUAAACAUACCUGUUCACCAUUUUUCCUGUUUUGUUUUUUUUUAAAUUUAAUCUAUCUUUUGCCCAAAAAGCUUUUGGCUGCUUUGGGAUAACCUGGUUUUGAUGUUGAAUGUUAUGGACUUUGACAUUUGGCAAUACCUCUUUAAUUUCAGUCCUGUUCCUGCCUUAAUUUAAUUUAUAUCGCUUUUCUAGUCUUAUCAACCACUCAAAGUGCUUUACACUACAAAUCACAUUGGUCCAUUCACUAACACAUUAAUAAAACACUUUUUAUGCAACCCUUUUCUAUCAAAAAUAAUUCAAACACUGACAGCAGUCAGGGGCAAUUUAAGUUUCAGUGACCAAGGAAGGACACUUUGGCGGGCAGACUGGAGGAGCCAGGGAUCACACCAUCUGGUUUGUGGAUGACCUGU